Molecule: ribosomal RNA, 364 nt
Filed under: uncultured fungus
Lineage: Eukaryota; Fungi
Description: partial 18S ribosomal RNA
Rfam family: Eukaryotic small subunit ribosomal RNA
Source: RNAcentral
UUNUACAAGCGNCUGCGAAUGGCUCAUUAUAUAAGUUAUCGUUUAUUUGAUAGUACCUUACUACAUGGAUAACCGUGGUAAUUCUAGAGCUAAUACAUGCUGAAAAUCCCGACUUCGGAAGGGAUGUAUUUAUUAGAUUCAAAACCAAUGCCCUUCGGGGCUCCAAUGGUGAUUCAUGAUAACUUCUCGAAUCGCACGGCCCCGCGCCGGCGAUGGUUCAUUCAAAUUUCUUCCCUAUCAACUUUCGAUGCUACGGUAGUGUCCUAGCAUGGUUGCAACGGGUAACGGGGANUNAAAUNGAAUGAUCCAUCGCCGGCGCGGGGNGCGAUUCGAGAAGNUGAUUCCUUUGGNGNGAAGGGNGGUU